RNAcentral lists this ribosomal RNA (483 nucleotides) under uncultured bacterium. Its description in RNAcentral is "bacterial SSU rRNA". It matches the Rfam family "Bacterial small subunit ribosomal RNA", at positions 28 to 526 of the family's 1533-position model. The record is from RNAcentral.
GACGAACGCUGGCGGCGUGCUUAACACAUGCAAGUCGAACGGUAAGGCCCUUUCGGGGGUACACGAGUGGCGAACGGGUGAGUAACACGUGGGUGAUCUGCCCUGCACUUUGGGAUAAGCCUGGGAAACUGGGUCUAAUACCGAAUAGGACCGCGUUCUGCAUGGGAUGUGGUGGAAAGCUUUUGCGGUGUGGGAUGGGCCCGCGGCCUAUCAGCUUGUUGGUGGGGUGAUGGCCUACCAAGGCGACGACGGGUAGCCGGCCUGAGAGGGUGUCCGGCCACACUGGGACUGAGAUACGGCCCAGACUCCUACGGGAGGCAGCAGUGGGGAAUAUUGGACAAUGGGCGAAAGCCUGAUCCAGCAACGCCGCGUGAGGGAUGACGGCCUUCGGGUUGUAAACCUCUUUCAGCGCAGACGAAGCGAAAGUGACGGUAUGCGCAGAAGAAGGACCGGCCAACUACGUGCCAGCAGCCGCCGUAAAAC